RNAcentral lists this ribosomal RNA (301 nucleotides) under uncultured bacterium. Its description in RNAcentral is "partial 16S ribosomal RNA". It matches the Rfam family "Bacterial small subunit ribosomal RNA", at positions 509 to 812 of the family's 1533-position model. The record is from RNAcentral.
CAGUAGCCGCGGGAAUACGUAGGGUCCGAGCGUUGUCCGGAAUUAUUGGGCGUAAAGGGCUCGUAGGCGGUUUGUUGCGUCGGGAGUGAAAACCUACAGCUUAACUGUGGGCUUGCUUUCGAUACGGGCAGACUUGAGGCAUUCAGGGGAGAACGGAAUUCCUGGUGUAGCGGUGAAAUGCGCAGAUAUCAGGAGGAACACCGGUGGCGAAGGCGGUUCUCUGGGAAUGUUCUGACGCUGAGGAGCGAAAGUGUGGGGAGCGAACAGGAUUAGAUACCCCGGUAGUCACUGUCUCUUAUAA